UAGGGAAUCUUCGGCAAUGGGGGCAACCCUGACCGAGCAACGCCGCGUGAGUGAAGAAGGUUUUCGGAUCGUAAAGCUCUGUUGUAAGAGAAGAACGAGUGUGAGAGUGGAAAGUUCACACUGUGACGGUAUCUUACCAGAAAGGGACGGCUAACUACGUGCCAGCAGCCGCGGUAAUACGUAGGUCCCGAGCGUUGUCCGGAUUUAUUGGGCGUAAAGCGAGCGCAGGCGGUUUGAUAAGUCUGAAGUUAAAGGCUGUGGCUCAACCAUAGUUCGCUUUGGAAACUGUCAAACUUGAGUGCAGAAGGGGAGAGUGGAAUUCCAUGUGUAGCGGUGAAAUGCGUAGAUAUAUGGAGGAACACCGGUGGCGAAAGCGGCUCUCUGGUCUGUAACUGACGCUGAGGCUCGAAAGCGUGGGGAGCGAACAGGAUUAGAUACCCUGGUAGUCCACGCCGUAAACGAUGAGUGCUAGGUGUUGGAUCCUUUCCGGGAUUCAGUGCCGCAGCUAACGCAUUAAGCACUCCGCCUGGGGAGUACGACCGCAAGGUUG
Molecule: ribosomal RNA, 550 nt
Filed under: uncultured bacterium
Lineage: Bacteria
Description: bacterial SSU rRNA
Rfam family: Bacterial small subunit ribosomal RNA
Source: RNAcentral